This 217-nucleotide long non-coding RNA is filed under the name Elaeis guineensis (African oil palm). RNAcentral describes it as "long non-coding RNA (EGUI_LNC024887)". The record is from RNAcentral. Lineage: Eukaryota; Viridiplantae; Streptophyta; Magnoliopsida; Arecales; Arecaceae.
UCGACCCAACCUACGAACAACUUGUUUAAGCAGGUUUAUAUUUGAUAACCAGUUUGGAUCAUAAAUGAGUCAAUCUGUCUAAAUUUAUUUAUUAAAUGGAUUGGGUUUAAGUUUAGAUUUUUAAUCCAUUUAUCCUAUUUUAAUCUAUUUAAUCAUUAGGUUGGAUCAUAAUCUAAUUUGUUUAAACUUUUUAGCCAAUUUAAAAUCUACUUAACUU